RNAcentral lists this ribosomal RNA (739 nucleotides) under uncultured organism. RNAcentral's name for it is "bacterial SSU rRNA". It matches the Rfam family "Bacterial small subunit ribosomal RNA", at positions 57 to 828 of the family's 1533-position model. The record is from RNAcentral.
GCAAGUCGAACGAGAAUUCCGAGCUUGCUCGGAAGGACAGUGGCAGACGGCUGAGUAACACGUGGGAACGUACCCUAAACUCAGGUAUAGCUCACCGAAAGGUGGGGUAAUCCCUGAUAUGUCUUCGGACGAAAGCUUUUGUGGUUUAGGAUCGGCCCGCGUCCUAUCAGGUUGUUGGUGGGGUAACUGCCUACCAAGCCUAUGACGGGUAGCUGGUCUGAGAGGAUGAUCAGCCAGACCGGGACUGCGAUACGGCCCAGACUCCUACGGGAGGCAGCAACUAGGAAUCGUGCACAAUGGACGAAAGUCUGAUGCCGCGACGCCGCGUGGUGGAUGAAGGUCUUCGGAUUGUAAACACCUUUUUUGGGGGAGCAAGUUCUGAGAGUACCUCAAGAAUAAGUGCCUGCUAACCACGUGCCAGAAGCAUCGGUAAUGCGUGGGGCACAAGCGUUAUCCGGAUUUACUGGGCGUAAAGAGAUGCGUAGGCGUCUUGGUAAGUCUGAUGUCAAAUCCCGAUGCUUAACAUCGGAACUGCAUUGGAAACUACCUUGAUUGAGUUAGGUAGAGAUGAGGGGAAUUCCUGGUGGAGCGGUUAAAUGCGUUGAUAUCAGGAGGAAUACCAAUUGCGGAGGCACCUCAUUGGACCUCAACUGACGCUAAGGCUCGAAAGCGUGGGUAGCAAAACGGAUUAGAUACCCGUGUAGUCCACGCCGUAAACGAUCCCUGCUAGAUAUUUGGC